CUUCUGGUGAUGAGAACACUGUCCAGUUCUGCUACUGAAUUUAAAAAUGAUGACAAUUGGAAAUCUGAAGAGG
Small nucleolar RNA from Chelonoidis abingdonii (Abingdon island giant tortoise), 73 nucleotides. Lineage: Eukaryota; Metazoa; Chordata; Testudines; Testudinidae. The record is from Ensembl.